Molecule: microRNA precursor, 128 nt
Filed under: Vitis vinifera (wine grape)
Lineage: Eukaryota; Viridiplantae; Streptophyta; Magnoliopsida; Vitales; Vitaceae
Description: MIR845_2 microRNA precursor family
Rfam family: MIR845_2 microRNA precursor family
Source: Rfam by way of RNAcentral
AGAACACACAUUAAUUAUCCCUAGGGCCAUGGGAUAAAAAAACGUGCAAAACCAAGUUAGCACACUUUAGAAUGGUUAUAGCACGAUUACUAACCUAUGACUUUGAUACCAGUUGCAGGGAAUGUUAG